GGCAUUAUAGCCUAGUGGUAUAUUGGUGGUGGGAUAAUGCGUAUGACCAAUUGGUCAUGGGUUCGAUUCCCACAAAGGGGG
This 81-nucleotide transfer RNA is filed under the name Helianthus annuus (common sunflower). RNAcentral describes it as "tRNA HanXRQr2_Chr02g0071691". Lineage: Eukaryota; Viridiplantae; Streptophyta; Magnoliopsida; Asterales; Asteraceae. The record is from RNAcentral.